Long non-coding RNA from Chelonia mydas (Green sea turtle), 7265 nucleotides. RefSeq lists it as uncharacterized. NCBI's taxonomy places the organism in Eukaryota, Metazoa, Chordata, Testudines, Cheloniidae. The record is from RefSeq and is a predicted model, not a curated record. The transcript is spliced from 7 exons.
AACUGCGCGGCUGAUUUCGUGUGUCGCCCCACCCCCUUCAGUUGCUCCCGAUAGGUGACUUUUUAAAGUCGUGGUUAAAUAAGCAAACGCCCUUUCGGUGGCUUGGGGGAGUUUAAGGAUGAGCUCUCAAGCCCCGCCAGCGUUUGUGCGGAUGCCCGGACUUGUUUUAUUUUCGGUUUGAUCCCAGUGUGUCACGUUGUAGAAAAGCAAGAUAUCUGUGAAGUGUCAAAACAAAGACACAAACAAACACAAGCCUCGCUCGUGAUGGGAAGCUAGCGGCGAGGGUGAGGGGCGGGGGAGUAUUAUUAAAAAGAAAUUGCAUGCUCCGUUUCUCGAGGAAGUCAGGUUUGAGUCAAUGUAGUAACCCCCCUGUGUUGGGUAAGCAAAUUAAGAAGAUGCCUCAGAAAACCACGUUUGAUCGGGGCUUGUUUACAUCUCCUUCCCAGCGGGUAUUAAGAGCGUGUCGAAGGGAGUUCCUGGAAUUUUUGUUGGCUCAGAAAUGGCCCGGCAUUCCCUAGUUUACUAAAUUGUGGUCUGGGGGCAGCACCCACGAAGUAAAUCCUGGCGAGAUCGCUGAUGUCUGGGGAAGAUACUUUCUUCCCGUCCUUCCCAUGCCGCUGAGCAGAUAGAAACGAGAACUCCUGCUCCUCUCAGCGCCAUUUCAGCAGAGACACAAAAUGGGCUCAAGAGUCUGGCUCAGGUGCGCGAAUUGGGCACUACGUAGCAGCCGCAGCCUUGCGGGUCUGGGUUAGGCCGGCCGUUGUAGGGCGAUGGAGCUGUGCCAAGAUAGCCUCCUUCGUGUAGACAGUUCGGUUUUCAGAAGGCCUUGCGUUUUGCAGCCUCUGCACAUUCCAGACACCCAGAGAAGUGUAGUGAGCGUUUGGGGUGGGCAAAGAAUGCAGGGAACACUUCAAGGGCAGGAAGUCUCUAAAGAUGAUUUUUGAACAUUUCUGAAUUUGUUUUUAUUAGGGCGGAAGACUCCAGGGCACUUGGGCUCUAAAGGCGUCGAAUACCACAAAGGCUGCAAGACCAAGAGAAACAGGAAGCUGCUUGAAAUGGCCAGAAAAUCAAGUCUCAGGUUCCGCCCCCCCCCAGGUAUGUAAAUGUGGAUAUUAUAUUAUAUCAUGUAUGUAUUAAAUAUCAGUGUGCAUACAGGCGCGCACACAUGUGCUGUACUGUAAAUAACCCCCUCUUAAUGCGCUGCACGCACAAUGCAUUUGGGGAAAACGCUAGACCAAAAAUGCAUUUAGCUUUUGAGCACAUGUACAGAGAAAUGCUACCGACCAUUCCUCUGCACAAACGGAAACCCCGGUUUUUGGAAAGUCUGAAAUUUUACUAAAACGGAAGGUUCUUAGGCGGACCCAAAAGGCAGUCUUUACUCCGGCAAAAUUCCCCUUAAGGCAAACAGAAAUGUGACUUGAGUAAGAAGCUGCUCAUUAUGAAAAUACAAAAUUCAAACUGGAAGUUCAUUUAUAAUAUGCACAAGAGCCACCAUAAUAAAAACAGUAACUACCGCCCCGCUGCUUUUUUGAAUAGUAGGUAGAAUAUAGAUUUAAAUCUUUCCCUCUGUAUAAAAAUAUUGAAUUUCACUUUAUAUAUAAUUAACUUUCCUUUAGUUUAUGGCACUUCCGCCUUCCCACCCCGGUGCUUAAAAUAGUAAAUCGUUCACUAGCACUUAUACUGCUGUUACCCUUUCUGCCGGUACGAUUUUACUAGACCAGUGACUCGCCUGUGUAUAUGUGUUUCGUUUGAAGGGAUUUAAAAUACAGUUUUAACUUAGUCCAGUGGCCAGGAAAACACUACAAUUUCUAUUGACCUUAGAACCAUACUAGAAAGCUCACUGCUUUUGAAGUUAGUUUUUUUAUGUUGAAAUCUAAAUGCUGAAAGAUACUGCACAAAAGCGCAGCAAAUUAAAUGGUGCAGCACCAUGUCUACUGAAGGAUUAUUAUCAAAUGCACAAAUUACCCCUUUUCAGUAAAAUGUUGAUGUUGUAAUCUAAAUUGUCCUUGCAUCUCUUACAACAUAGCUUUUCAGGUAAUUCCAAUUUUGUUUUGUGCGAGAAUAUACAUAAACGUUUGCUAAAUACAUAAAUAACUGAACCUAAGUAGAAAUCAAGAUUGAGAAUGUACUUUAGUUUCUAGUACUCCUGAAGGAGAUUAAAGUUUUUAAUGUCUGUACUUCACUAUAUAUGACAUAAAUAACUCACUCUAAUGCAUACCCCCUUUUUUUUCUGCAUGAGCUAGUGUUUCUACGCAUAUAUCGUUUAGUUAAUGUAUUUGGUCUCGGACGAAAAUAUUAUAUCACGACUUCAGUAGUGAGAUUUAAAAUGAAAGGGCACCCUUUCCGAAAAUGAUAUUUAGGUACAGAUAUAGCAAUUGCUGAAAUUCGAGAAUUUAAAGCACUUGGUGGGUUUGAGUCAUCGUGUCACAAUUACAGUUACAGAUAAAAACAACAGGUUAUUAAAACUAAAACUGCUUUCAGAAAGAUCGGCGUGUUUGUAAUAGACUUUCGGUUUUCUCGUUAACUGAGAUGAACUAGUUUUCUUCGAUCAUUUCAUAAGUGUGGCUUUGGUGCCUAUUCCUUCGGACUGUCCUCUCUCAUGCAGAUCACCCCCACAGAACUAAAUGGGGGCUUUGUAUGAGUAGGGGUGCAGGAUCGGGCCCUGAAAACGACCAAGAAAUACUAGAGGAUAAAUAUUAAAUGGGGCAUAUAGUUAUAUCUUUAUCUAGAACAAGCCAACUGAAGCAUGCAUGUCGUUUUAGCAUGUUAAUAAUGUCUGAUGUUUAUCUGAGGAGUCAGAUUUAGUGUUUUGUGACUUUAAAUACCGAUGAAGUGAGCUGUAGCUCACGAAAGCUCAUGCUCAAAUAAAUUGGUUAGUCUCUAAGGUGCCACAAGUCCUCCUUUCUUUUUCUUUUCUUUUCUUUUUUUUUUUAAACUGCGUUCCUUCUACAUAUUUCUGCGGACACCGAGAUGGUGUAUCGCCAUUUCAGCAUUUUGUUAAGCUUGUGAAAAAAUGGCUAGCGUUUGUAUGCACUGGAUAGAAUUUCCCAUUCCUCUUCGCCUUUUGAUUUUAUCGGCUAUUAUAGUGUCAACUUUACGCUCGCGGCAGAAGGGGUGAUUUUUGGCACAUGUAUGAGGAACAACACUCCCUGCGUAAAAGCAGUCACAAAAUGCGACACAUGCUAACAAAACUAGGUUUACUUUUUUUAAUCGCCGGCAGCCUGAUUGAGUGCAUGGCGAAUAAAUAGCGAAAAGAACAAUCGUGGAAGGGGAUCGGCUGACUUUCUGAAGGACUACAUUGAUGUGUCGCUUUGCCACCCCCACGCUAUGAGCAGUCAGUCCGAGGUGAAAGUAACAACUGACGCUCCCCGCACUUUGGAGCUGCUGUGUGUGAUGAUAGCUGUAUAAUGUCUGCGAGGCUUGUAAAGGGCCCGAGUCUCCGAGGCGCUGCGUUCACUAAAACCAGAGCGUGCUAAGCGCUCAGCACCUGCAGUCUUUUUGGUUUGCACCUUUUGUACUCCCCACCUCCCACCGGGUCUUGAGUCUCCUGCCUGGCUCCCCGUGAACCCCUCUCGCUGGUCCCUGUACCUGGAUCGGCGUCCUGUCGUAGGAAUUGACUGCAUUGGGGUCCGCCCCCUGGUCCAGCAGCUCCCUCACCUUCCCCAAAUUCCCUAAGGCAGCGGCGUUGGCCAUGUCGUUGGCCCCAGGCUGGCCCAUGCCUCUUCCUCGCUGCUGGAUCUCACAUCUAUUCGCACCAGUGUCCGGGGCACCCGUCUGGCGCUUCCCCCUUCGGCAAUCUCUCGGGGGUGGUCCAGCUCGCACAGGUCUCCUAAGCCAUCAGAGCGCGGCGCGGCCGCCGGUCGCCUCUCCUCCGAGAACCCCGAGGGGCAGCGGCGCUUCCUGGGGGAGGGGGGCAGCCGCUCCAGCGGUGCCCACCACCGGGCAGGCGGGUCUGAUCUGAACAGCUCCCCGGGCUUUCUUCCUGCUCUCUCCCGCUUUGCCCUCCUCUUUCUUCCCCUGCUGCUCCCGGGCCCAGGUUCAGCACCUCCGCGGCGCCGAGCGAGAGGUGAGGUCCCACCGGCUGCAGGGACACCGCCUCUGCGGCUCAGCUGGAGAAGCCCAGGACUUGUUUUCUUCGUUCAGCUGGCGCCCCUCCCCGCCCCGCGCCUGUCCCCUCCCCGGCCCUGCCGCCCGGUACGUGUUCUGACUUGCCCAGCGCCUGAUGUCACGCACCCAGGCAAGCAGCGGCCAGCCAGGGAACAGCUGGGGAGCGCGCGGCGUGAGAGCCCGUCCCGGGAGGCGCAUGCGCUCCUAGCUUCCGACUGGCGUUCUGUUGUAGAACGCAGGCAGCCAAAGGUUCGGGGGAAGGAACCUUCCCGUCUCCGUCCCCCCUCGCUCCCCCGCCCCCACGCACGCCCUCCCCGCUUUUGCAGAGUCAGCGGAGGGCUUGCGGCGGGGGCCGCUGCUGGAUGGUGCUCCCAGGGCCAUGCAGCGGGCGGGGGGAGGGCGGCCCGGCGCUGGCACGGGCUCGGCAGUAAUCUUGCCUGCCUUCAGCACAGGCAGCUCCUUCCCUGGGCUGCGGCCUAAUCUCGCCCGCCAGCCCCACGCGCCGGAGGGAGGGAGGGCUGGAAGAACAGCCCAACAAACCCCAGCCCCUCCAGAGCCUUCAUUCAGCCUUGGCAAUGGCCACUGAAGCGCGAGGCUGUUGCUGACGGGCAGAGUGACCUUGAACAAGCCGUCUCCUCUGUUUCGUGCCUCAGUGGCCUCGUCUAGAAAGUAGGGCCAGUCCUUCCGCAGCCUCCCAGGGGACGUGAAAGCCAGUCCACGGAUGGUUGUAAAACGCUUUGAAAGCCUCAGAUGACAGAAAACUGUCUCCAGGUGAAGCAAUCAGAAACAACACACAGAGCAAAGAAAAUUACCAGGUCUGAAAUGGAAACCCAGCUAUUUAAAACAAAAGGGGCACUUGCCAGAUGUGUAUAAAAGGCCGUAUUUCUGUAAAUAGCUGCACCAGUACAGACCCGUAUUCCAUGCAGAGUUUGUUCCUUUUGAAGUCCAAGUGGCUCUACGCAGACUUAAGAUCUUUGUGAGCACAGCAAUAUGAAGGAUUGCAGUCUAUGCUUGUUUGUGUUGGGGAACAUUGAAAGAGGAAGGAGGAAGUACAGACUCCAGAGAUUAAAAAAAAGAAAACCGUCAAUAAGCAAAAAAAAGGUGCAAACUUCCAGCUGACCACAGUCUGCUUCCCCACUGCAGCGUUCCUUCUAGAAGUCUGCAAGCUCCUGAGCACCAUAGGAACAAAGCCCCAUGGACUUUUCUACAAGCUGCAUCUAAUAUUUGGGGUAAGAGACCCUGGUUUCUGUGAUGCCUCCAUGCAGCGAGCCUGAAAUUCUGGAACAGAUUCAGAUAGUAUGCUGUUAUCUCCUCUUUGCAGCCUGGAGUGAAACCAGCGGAAGAAAAUGAAUGCUCCUUUAUUUCAGUGUAUGAAAUUAAAUGUCUCUGGAGAAACAGAAAAUAUGAUUGGGGUCAACUUGUUGGUUCAAGUGCUAUGACUCUGAGCCUUUCGUGUUUGAUUCAGAGCCAAUGGAAGUGAGCUGGAGUCCAAAUCGUGCCACUCCAUCACCAUUGUCAAUAACUGGCACUCUUCUUGUCAUUCUCAAUAGACAAGGAUUGGCUAGCACUGCCCUCUCAUCUAUGCAGCCUGUGAGCUCCUUCGAGUAGAGACCCUCCUUCUUGAAUGCUCAGAAAGCAUUGAGCGCAGAGGGAUGAUAUAAUAAAUGAUCAUCACCAUCAUCAUGGCAGAUCCCAAAGAGGCAUCCCCUCCUUCUGUAUUGAGUUCCAUGCAGCAUAAUCUGCAGGAUCCCGGAAUGGCCCUUUCAAAGGCUUUGUUGGUCAUUUUUGCCUCCGUGGCCAUUUGGGCCACAAGGACACAGGUGGUCAAUUUCACUAUAAACCCCCUCAUGAUGUGAAGGUACAGACCCUGGAGGGUGCUAUAAUAAAUAAAUGAUAGUCGUCAUUUUUUUUUUUUUUUGGAUGCUGAACAUUUGGUAUGUUGUCUUUUUAGGUUCCCAUCUUUCUUGUACAGGAACAUAAUGGCUAUGGGUGAGAUUCUGUGCUGCAGCUCUCAGAGGCCCGUAGCAGAGCUCUUAGCUCGGAGGAGGGGCCCCUCUGGGGCCUCCAGCUUAAUUUAGAAAGCUCUGGGGGGCUGUCUAAAUUACAUCAGGCUCCUGGGCUACAGUGCUGCUCAGAAUAUCUGUAGCAUCGUAUGCUGCAACCUUGACCUGACACGCCCUUCCCACUCCCUGCCCUAUCCUGCUCUGCCUCCUACACUAGAGUUGGUGAGGGUGGGUAAUUAGAGGGCAGCCUUACAGCUGUCAACCAGAGAGCCUGCAGCAGGGGAAUCCUCCCCUGCCUGAAUAUAGGCUUUUAAGGCCCCUUUCUGCCAUGCCAGUCUCUUUAUCUGAUGUAAAGGAGCUGGAGUGGGAAGGAAAGUGGGGGUGAUCUCAUCUAUGUAUACUGAUAUAUGCCAUGUGGACAGAUGGACAUGUGCAAUCGAUAUGAAAUGUGUGUCAUUUUAAACGGUGUUUAAACCCCAUUAAAAUGUGGGAAAAUAAAUCUAACUGUCCCUGUUUCUUAUUUUCUUUUAACCAAUCAUUAUUUUAUUGUUUAUUUCCUAAAAAAAGAAGAGCAAAUAAAAUGCAUUCUAACAAAGCAAAAAGACAGCUUUUAGCUUUGAAACCAAACGCUUCAUCAAGAAUGGGCAAGAUGACACAGCCUUCAGUCUGACAAUGAGAAGGUGCCAGUGUCUGGCAGCAACCUGAUUUGCUAAAGCGUCAGCGCUAGCGUUGUGAUCAGAUCUUGACAGACUGUUUCCAUAAUGUUUGAUUUACUGUGAUCCAGGUUAUUAAUUUGACACUCAGUCUUUAUGGAUGAUGCCACAACAAAGUCUGUGGCUCUGCAUCUUAUAUUUCUAGCAAUAGCAAGGACGACAGUGGGUAUAUUGCUUACUCAAUGGCUUAGUGGGGACGAGUAGUAUGGUGUCACUUUCUAAAUACUAGCACUAGGUGGUGCUAAUAAACCUUGCACAGAAUUGUUAAAUCUUAGUUACACAAAACGUUAUGAAACAAAAAUCUAAGCUAACAAUGAUUUUAAAAGUUGUAUUUUAAUCUGCACGAUUUAUUUGAUUAAACUCUCUCUGAUAAGCAAUUUACUCCACAGGUCAAUUUACUAUGUAUUUAUUAAUUUGAUUUUAAGUGGGUUUAUGCUUUUUC